CUGGUAACCACCAAUCUGUUCUCCAUAUCUAUGUGUUCGUUUGUUUAUCUUCCACAUAUGAGUGAAGUCAUACAAUAAUUGUCUUUCUCCAUCUGACUUAUUUUGCUUAGCAUAAUAACCUCGAGGUCCAUCCAUGUUGUAGCAAAUGGCAAGAUUUCAUCUUUUGUUUUUUUAUGGCUGAGUAGUUUUCCAUUGUAUAUAUACACCACAUCUUCUUUACCCAUUCAUCUGUUGUUGGACACUUAGGUUGCUUCCAAGUCUUGGCUAUUGCAAAUAUUGUUGCAAUGAACAUAGGGGUGGAUAUAUCUUGUCAAAUUAGUCUUUUCAUGUUCUUUGGAUAAAUACCCAGAAGUGGAAUAGCUGGAUUAUAUGAAUUCCUUAAACCAAUUUCCUAAGAUGGUACCAAAAGGACAUUUGGUGGUCAGUAAUUAUUUGCCAGAGAUGAAGACAAAGAAGAAGACACAACAAAAAUAGAUGCAAGAUCAAAACCUCAGUCUGAAAAACUGAAGCCACAACCUGCCUUCAUUGCAUGCUGACUGUAACAUUUUGAUGGUGUGCACAGUUUUUCUCACUCCUUUUUCCUCCUCUUCCUAAUUUGUUUUGAAAUCUAAGAAAUAAAAUGAAAGAGGGUAAUAAAGCAUUUGAUAUACAAAUUUCAAAAUAAAACCAUCAGCCAGGAACAAAUCUUUGAGGAUGUACUUCAUAUCAUAUUCACACUUUUGUUUUCAGGUUACCCAUCCCUUAAACAUUAAUGCAAACAAUAUUAAUCAUGUUGUCUAGGCUGAGAAUGCACUAAGAAUAAUUAAUUCUGCAUUAAACCGAACCCCUAUUACUUAGGCAUUGUAACUAGAAAUCUUUCCGACGAUACCCUUCCCCGACAUCCCACAAAACUCCUCCCUUCAGAGUUAGACCUUGGAGUAGAUGCUCCUUGAUCUUCCCUAAGACAUCAAAAGAAACAUCCGUCCCACCUGGCAUGUGGAUCAUCUCCACCAGUAGAUUCAUAAUUUUCAGGUUUAUAUUCAGUGCCUCCCACCCUGAGUGCAUGGCUGUACUAGAGAGACUGGGAACCCCACAUACUCACCCACUCCUCUCUCACCUCCAGCUCUGACCAUGAAAUUAAUGUUGGGGCUGCUAUGACUUUUUCUCUAGAAUCAGCCCUAACGGGAUCAACCCAUAUUUGUCUCAGUCGAAUUCACCUCCACCCUAUUUUAUUUAUCAAAAAAGUGUUCACCAAAAAGGAUGUCCAACUUAAGGUGAAAAAAAUAUAUAUCACAGCUAAAUGUGGGUUUAAAGCUGAAGAGACUUGAGAUUGAAAAACUGCCAGUUCUUACUGUUCACUUACUCACAGGAGGGUUUACAGCUCCUGAAAUCAUGCCAGGACUUUGAAAAUGAAAGCUUGCAGUUAGAAAAUGAUGGCUCAUGACAGCAAAGAUCAGUCAUGUGAUAGGCCAAGCGUUUUCCGUCACUGCCUUCCUCAAUCAGACAGAGCUCAGAAACAGAGGUUAAUCGGUCAGAUAGCAUCCACAGAGGCUGAGGGCAGCAGAAUCCGGCUGCAGCAAUUAAUCAUUUAAUUGCUUUCUGAUUCACUUUAAAUGUCUUUUAAAAAGAAAUUAAAGAAAAACAUUAUUGAAAGGACAUUUUAGACUAUUUAAUAAAGAUCCAAUAUACCCUUUGUGAACCAGAAAAUGGAUGGAUCUCUAGGCCAACUCUGUUCAAUGUUUUCUUAGGCAACAUUUUCUUAUAUGGAGGAAGAAGGGACAGAGCCUCUGCUCCAGGCAGGAGGAAAAGCAUGUAUAAAAGCACUUAGAAAAGAAAGCAUGGGUGUAAAUAAAAAUAGUUUUUGCUUGUUAGGCUGUUUGUUUUUUUGGCUAAAGAGCAGGAUCUGUGAGAGGGGUUGACAGGAAAGCCUAGAAACAUAGAGAGUAAAUUUUUGAGGGUCUUGAAUGCCAAGGUAAAAGAGCCUGGACUUGAUCUAUUAGGCAAUGGAAGCCAAUGAAGAUUUUUGAGCAGAAAAAACAGCAUGAGUAGGGAAUAGCAUGAACUGUAGGGUCCAUCAGCCCUGGGUUAUGACCCUCACUAGCUGUUAUGAGCACAUUGUAACCUUUUUGGCGCCUCCCAAGCUACACAAAGGGAGUGAUAAUACCAUUCCCAGGGUUAUUUCAACAUUAGAAAUAACACAUAUACUACCACACUCUCACCCCAGUGAGUGUGUGUUACGUAACACAUAUAUGUAACACAUUCACCCCAGAGCUUGGCGCAGAAAAAGCACAUAUUAAAUGGCAUUAGCUGUUACUACUGCUGUGCUCUGGGUAGGAAGGUCAAAGGGGAAGAGAUGGGAGGCAGGAGACCAGAGAGGUCCAAGUAAGAGGUAGAGAGGCUGGACUAGGCAGAGUACAUAUAAGCAAGGAGAGUGGCAAAGAGAAAGUGGCAUAGAAUGCAAGGGCCACUACAAAGGGAAAAUCCAAAGAAAUGGAGACUAAAAACAUUAACUUGUCCAAAGCCAUUUGAUGAUGACUGGACAUGACCAAGGGAGGAGAAGAAGCCACAGAGACUCCAAGAAGCAGGCUGAGAUAAGUAUCACAUAAGUCAGAGAGACACAAACUUCUAUGAGGAUCCAAAAUAAAUAAUAAACGUAUAUAAAUGCCAAACACUGCACUUGAAUUUCUAGAACGACUACAGAAAUAACCAAAACCAUAUUCCUUUCUGCAAUGAUCCCAUCUGAAUUCUUAAUAAUAAGAGCUGCCCUGAGAACAAUUUUCAGAUCCACAGGGCUAGAAGAUUUGGGCCAUCACAUUACUCAGUGUCGUACACCAGGCAAUGUCCUCUUCCCAGACACCAUCACCAUGGCUCACCUUUUCACGUCACCACCGCCACAGACGUCUCCACCAUUUCCUUAGGCACCUCCUCCAGCUUCAUUGUCAUCACUCACUUUAUGAUCCUCUCAACACAAAUACCCGCUGAUAUUCUCCUCAGGCUGGACCUGCCUUCCCCACAAGACUCGCCUGUUUGGACAACAAGUAGAGAAAUACCUGGCACUUCAGAACAGCAGCGCAGCACCUAAUAACUCACUGCACCUGACAUUUUCA
Long non-coding RNA from Equus caballus (horse), 3086 nucleotides. The record is from Ensembl. Lineage: Eukaryota; Metazoa; Chordata; Mammalia; Perissodactyla; Equidae.